Molecule: long non-coding RNA, 5472 nt
Filed under: Oryza sativa (Asian cultivated rice)
Lineage: Eukaryota; Viridiplantae; Streptophyta; Magnoliopsida; Poales; Poaceae
Description: long non-coding RNA (OSAT_LNC001103)
Source: RNAcentral
CGACGACGGCAUCGAUCACCUCGACGGCGAAGCGGCACCGGUUCUCGAGGUUGCCACCGUACUCGUCGGUGCGGUCGUUGGCGCUGUCCUUCAUGAACUGGUCGAGGAGGUAGCCGUGCGCGCCAUGGAUCUCCACGCCGUCGAACCCCGACUCGAUGGCGUUCCGCGCGGCUCGCCUGAAGUCGUCGACGAUCUGAGGGAUCUCGUCUGUCCGGAGCCGCCGGGGCUUGGAGUACACCAUGCCUGAAUCGUCCGGUGUGAUCUGCUUAUCGGUGCUCGAGAUCGGCGCCUGUCCAUUUGGCUGGAAAUCUGUCGAUUUCAUUUCGAAAUUUAAUUAAUCAACCAACGAGCACAAUUUGCAAUGACCUUUGAAAAAAAAUCAACCAACCACCAGCAAGUGGACGAACCUGUGGUGGAGACCCUGCCGACGUGCCAUAUCUGUAGGAAGAAGAGGGCGCCCUUGCGGUGGACGGCGUCGACGAUGGGUUUCCACGCUUCGAUCUGCUGCUGCGUGUAGAUGCCGGGGGUGUCCGGGUAGCCCUGCGCGGUGGGGGAGAUGACAGUGGCCUCCGCGAUGAGGAGUCCGCCGUUGGUGGCGCGCUGCGAGUAGUACACCGCGGCGUGCGGCUGCGGCACGUGGCCGUAGGAGCGGCACCGCGUCAGCGGCGCGAGCACCACCCGGUGGGACAGCUCCAGCUGCCCCAUCUUGUACGGCGUCAGCAGCGGGAUCGCCUCUUUCGCAGGUGCGUGCACCAUCUUGGCCUGGAGUGCGCACGCGAUUUCGUCAGGUAUAGACUGGUAGCCGCUUUUCUGUUCCCAACUGCUUCAGUUAGUGCAACAAACCAAGAAAAAGAAAAUCUAACAAAUGUAUGGGCAUUCACCUCACGAGCGCACACGAGGUAACGACGGCCUGGAUUCCUAUCCGUGCGUGAGGUUUUGAUUGCCACAGGAAAACGGCAGCAACACUUCAACACCGGCGGCGAAGACGCCAUGGAUGUUUGGAGGGAGAGUAGAGAGGAAGGUUGGGGAAAGAAGACGACAGUGCGUGUGGUUUGGGGAUGGAUGUGCUGGCCCUCUCUAUCACCAACACAAGAUCCUGGUACUAGAAAAGAUGUACUAGUUAUUGGGGCGGAGCUAGCACCAAAACUAAGGUGGUGCACUACCAUUGAAAACCUAUAAAACUUCAAUCGAAUACUGUGCAUUUCAGUGUUUUAAAGUGAGAAAUCUUGGCUUUAGGGGAGUUCCUGUGCAUCAGAUUAGCUGAACGUGGCUGACUAGUACUAUACCACCAACACGCAUGACGGGGACAGCGCGUGUGGUUUGGGGAUGGAUAUACUGCCACUCUAUCCCCACCAGCUAUUAGGACAGGUGUGGGUCCAGUUGACAUGACUAUACUUAGGCCGUGUUUAGUUUCAAAGUUUUCCUUUAAAUUUCUAACUUUUUCAUCAGAUCAAAACUUUCCUAAAUACAUAAACUUCCAACUUUUCCGUCACACCGUUUCAAUUUCAACCAAACUUUCAAUUUUGGCGUGAACUAAACACAGUCUUACAAAGGUUACAAAGGCCGUGUUUAUACCUUUGUCACAUCGAAGAUACGGACACAUAGAAGUAUUAAACGUAGUCUAAUAACAAAAAAAAAUACAUAAUCCGUCUAUAAACUGCAGCACCAUAUUGUUAAAUAUAUAGCAAUUAGGCUUAAAAGAUUCGUAUCGCAAUUUACACGCAAUCUGUGUAAUUAGUUUUUAUUUUUAUCUAUAUUUAAUACUUUAUACAUGCAUUCAAACAUUUGAUAUGACAGGGUGAAAAAACUUGCCAGAAGAUCUAAUCAGGCCUAAAGAAUACGGAACACAGAAAAUGAAUGAACGGUUGCAAUAGAUAUGGACUGGUAGAUGUAUGCACGAAUCUCCAAGUUGAGAAAAUUCCAUAUGUACCCUUGAAACUUCACCCAAUCCCUUCUAUUCUCCUGAGAUUUGUUUAUUUUCUUUCAUAUCCCUAAGUUUCAAUUUGGAUCCCUUCUAUACCCCUUUCAUCAGUUGACUAUUAUUUGACCGUUAAAUUUCUAUCAUAAAGUUCAUUUUUCUUUUUGGUAUCAAGAAAAUAUAAAUUUAUGAAGUAUAUUGAUAAAGUGUAUACUGAUAUGAAUUAGGAGCCAUACUGCUCCAAACACCAAAGUAGACAAGCAGCUCUUUUUACGACAUAUGUGGCAAAAAGAAUUUAUUUCAUAAUUUAAUUUGACAGUUCGUGUAUAACACCAUUGUUAUUCAUGCUUGGCGCCCUUUAGGAAAUGACACAGGUAGAUGGAAGUGAUAAUUUCUUUUUAAGUUUUGAAUCGAUUUAUGGUAUAGAGUUAACAUAAUUUGUUUAUGGCGUUGAUCGGUCAACUAAAUUUUAGCGGUACACAUAGAUACGCUGGGGAGGAGGGAAGGAGGGUUGGGGAGGAGAGGGAUGCCAGGAAGGAGGGAUAGAGUGUAGGGGAGAAGAGGGGUGCUAAUAGAAGAGGGCUGCCAAGUAGGGAGGAGGGACGACAUGGAUGAGGUCCGUACGUCAACAGGGAAGAGAGAGCCGCAGGUGGGGAUGGAGCGCGCAUGCGGCGGGGCAAGCGAUCGGAAUCAGAACCGAGAACCGAGAUGGAUAGGGAGAGUUGGGCGGACUAAUAUUUUGUUGGAAGCAGAUUUUAUUUUUUAAAUAGGCAAAGAUUGAUCCUUUAAAAAAACUUGUUUUGAAAAAACAUCAUGAUAAAAACUAAUUACAGAAAUAGGCAUCUGCUUUAGCACCAACCUCAAUGACACUGAGCUAUAGCCUGGGACGAACCCAAGGGGUGCCGGGUAUGCACUACCCAAAAAUUUUGAAAAAAAAACACUAGGGUGUGGCGUGGAAUCAUGGCAAGGAUGGUAGCGAGAAAGCAUUAAAAUAGAAUCCCCUCGAUGAAUAGAGCACAAUGGUGAUCACAGUUUGUCCGGAGGUCAAAUCAGGAUAAGAAGAAAGGACUGAAGGAAGAACCAAGAAGAAGAAUGGCUAGGUAGCUUAGGGCAUGAUGGCUUUCGUUGGAUGGUAUCACUAGGAGUUCACCUUACUAAUUCAUUGUGCAUCCACGAUGUCGUGCAGCUGUGCGCAUUAAAAUAACCGAUCAGAUCAAGAGUGGACUGAAACUCGAUGGUAAUAAGAAGAUGAACCUUUAGAGACUAUACAACUAUCUUAACUGACAACGGGUUGCGGCAAGGGACGAAGCAUGAGUGGACUGCUUUUUCUUCCCCUGAAUUUUACAGAUUUUUCACGAAUUCUGAACCACAGUUUGAUUAUUUUUUUGAAAAAUUAAAUCAAAAUUUGCCAAAAUUUUGCUACCAAACCUUGAUGUUUUCUUUUUAAAAGAUAGAGGGGAGUGAUCCCUAAUAGACACACUCAACGUGAAUUUCCUUAGUCCUCCACUACCUGCAAUGUCUCGGCACUAGUAAGUUUGGAGUUGAGCUCUUAUUCAAGGUGGUACAAAUUUGCCAGGAACCAAAGUACCACUGCCACUGACAUUGACCUCUUUAUUGCUAAAAAUAGUGUGCAUUCCCUCUUUUACAGCAAAGCAAGGCUAGUGCAGUGGUGGAGGUCUUCAGUCCCAAGUCCAUGGUUUGCUUCCGUGAUCCUUCAUACUUGCUUUUUUUUUUCCAUUUCACUCAACACUUUUUAAUUAGUAGAGUGCUCAGGGCCAAUGAUAUUGAUGCUAAACUCUGAUGACAUGGUAUACUCGUGCCACCACUAGUAGAUAGCUCAACACAAUGGCAUUGGCACUAAACUCCGAUGACAUGAUAAACUCGUGCCACCUUGGACAAUGUGCUCAUCUUCAAUGACAUUGUAAACUUGUGCCGUCUUAGACAAGAGCUCAAAGCUAAGCAUUGGUAUUGAGAUGUUAUAGCUCAACGCAGUGGCGAAUCUAGCAUAUAAGUUAAGAAGAUGCUGGUGUAAAAAUAUAGUAUGACUGAAACAACCCGGUGUGAUCAUGGGUGCUCUGUGAUAGGUGUGUCGAGCUACAUACUCUAACACAGUAGGAUUAGCACUAUAAUGAUGAUAGGAAAAGGAAUACAUCGAUUUUUUUAAAAGUAAUAUGAUUUUAAUGGAAAAUCGCAAAACUAUAGAUCAGUUUGAUGAAAUCGCAAGUUUAGCACCCUAUCGAACAAUCACGGUUCGAUAGGGGUACCUAUCGAACAACUACAACUACAGUUCGACAGGUACAUGUCGAACUGUUUUAGUUCGACAGGGUAGUUCGUCCAAAAACAAAUAAAAAAGUACAUGAACAGUAUCACUACAGUGCUAGACAGGGACAUAUCGAACUGCCAAAGUUCGAGAGGGGUUGCGUGAACAGCGCGCUAUAGUGAUGCUACAGUGCUCGCAGGCACAUAUCGAACUGCCUAGGUUCGAUAGGGUAUUGUGAACAGCGUGCUACAGUGAUUUUUCCUUUUUUAAUUUUUUUUAAUCACCUGUCGAACUGCCGCAGGUACCCUAUCGAAUUGUAGUUGUUCGAUAGGUAUCCUGUCGAACCACGGUUGUUCGAUAGGGUGCUAAACUUGCGAUUUCAUCUAACCGACCUAGACUUUUACGAUUUUCCAUUAAAAUCGUAUUAUUUUCAAAAAAAAAAUUCGAAUACAUCUUUCUCGAACAAUAUCAAUAUUACAUUAGCUCAUUAAUCUCGAAUCAACAGCUACAAACUUACAACAAAAAAAUGUAUUCAUGCUUGUCCGUAUCACAUGAUAAGUGUUACAUUAUUAAUCCAAAUAAUAGGCUAAAAUUGGAUUAUUUAGGUGACAAUUAAGCAUAAGUAGUUCUUGACUCCUCAUCAAUCUCCUCAAGAAAAGGGUAAUCUGUAUAGCCAACAACGGGAUCCUGUGUAUAAAAGGUAGACCUGUCAUACCUGUUCAAUGGUGCGUCAAGCUCAAACCUCCUCGGCAAGUCAGGGUUAGCCAAGAAGAGCCUCCCAUAGGCGACGAGAUCGGCAUAGCCAUCAGCCACCACCUUGUUCCCUUCCUCCCGGUCAUACCCGCCAGCAGCGAUGAAAGUGCCAUUGAACUGCUUCCUGAAUGGUAGGAGGCCAUGGGCGAUCUUCCUUCGUCCUUCGAUUAUGGCCAUUCUUGGCUCCACCAUGUGGCAGUAGAGAAACCCUGGGUGCUUGUUGAGUUGCUGCACCAUGUAUGAGCCGAGAGCCACCGGGUCGGAGUCGAAGCAGUCCAUGAAGUCGACGAACGGCGAUAAUCUGAUUCCGACACGGUGAGCUCCCACCUCGGCGACGACGGCGUCGAUCACCUCGACGGCGAAGCGGCACCGGUUCUCGAGGCUGCCACCGUACUCGUCGGUGCGGUCGUUGGCGCUGUCCUUCAUGAACUGCUCCAGGAGGUAGCCGUGCGCGCCAUGAAUCUCCACGCCGUCGAACCCCGCCUCGAUGGCGUUCCGCGCGGCUCGCCUGAAGUCGUCGAUGAUCUGAGGGAUCUCAUCC